This 128-nucleotide non-coding RNA is filed under the name Pelecanus crispus (Dalmatian pelican). The record is from RNAcentral. Lineage: Eukaryota; Metazoa; Chordata; Aves; Pelecaniformes; Pelecanidae.
GUGUUGUAUGAAAGGAGAGAAGGUUAGCACUCCCCUUGAUAAGGAUGGAAGAGGCCCCUGUGGCCUGUACAACAUGCAUAUGGUUAAGGCACUGGCACCUACUUCAUGGCAUCUAACCAUGUUUUUAG